UACGGGGGGGGCAAGCGUUGUUCGGAAUUACUGGGCGUAAAGGGCUCGUAGGCGGCCAACUAAGUCAUACGUGAAAUCCCUCGGCUUAACCGGGGAACUGCGUCUGAUACUGGAUGGCUUGAGAUUGGGAGAGGGAUGCGGAAUUCCAGGUGUAGCGGUGAAAUGCGUAGAUAUCUGGAGGAACACCGGUGGCGAAGGCAGGUCUCUGGGCCACUACUGACGCUGAGAAGCGAAAGCAUGGGGAGCGAACAGG
Molecule: ribosomal RNA, 253 nt
Filed under: uncultured bacterium
Lineage: Bacteria
Description: partial 16S ribosomal RNA
Rfam family: Bacterial small subunit ribosomal RNA
Source: RNAcentral